Rhodocollybia butyracea is the source of this 95-nucleotide non-coding RNA. The record is from the annotation of a GenBank genome assembly. Lineage: Eukaryota; Fungi; Basidiomycota; Agaricomycetes; Agaricales; Omphalotaceae.
UCCCUCUUAGCUCAGUUGGUAGAGCGCGUCACUCGUAUAAUUGUAAUAUCAAGUUUGCGAUGACGAGGUCAGUCGUUCGAAUCGGCUAGCGGGAA